This 405-nucleotide ribosomal RNA is filed under the name uncultured prokaryote. Its description in RNAcentral is "bacterial SSU rRNA". It matches the Rfam family "Bacterial small subunit ribosomal RNA", at positions 355 to 774 of the family's 1533-position model. The record is from RNAcentral.
UGGGGAAUAUUGGGCAAUGGGCGAAAGCCUGACCCAGCAACGCCGCGUGAUUGAAGAAGGUCUUCGGAUUGUAAAGAUCUGUCCUAUGGGAAGAAAAAAAUGACGGUACCAUAGGAGGAAGCCCCGGCUAACUACGUGCCAGCAGCCGCGGUAAUACGUAGGGGGCAAGCGUUGUCCGGAUUUACUGGGCGUAAAGGGUGCGUAGGCGGUAUGUUAAGUCAGAUGUGAAAUAUCCGAGCUUAACUCGGAGGGUGCAUUUGAAACUGGGAUACUUGAGUGCAGGAGAGGAAAGUGGAAUUCCUAGUGUAGCGGUGAAAUGCGUAGAUAUUAGGAGGAACACCAGUGGCGAAGGCGACUUUCUGGACUGUAACUGACGCUGAGGCACGAAAGCGUGGGGAGCAAACA